AAGAAAUUCUGUCUGAAAAUGGGGAAACCACUCUCCAAGGCUAAGUACUACUGAGUGACCGAUAGUGAACAAGUACCGUGAGGGAAAGGUGAAAAGCACCCCUAUAAGGGGAGUGAAAAAGAACCUGAAACCGGAUGCCUACAAGCAGUCGGAGGAGCAUUAGGCUCUGACGGCGUACCUUUUGUAUAAUGGGUCAGCGACUUAAUUUAUGUAGCAAGCUUAAGCCGAUAGGUGUAGGCGCAGCGAAAGCGAGUGUUAAUAGCGCGUUAAGUUACAUGGAUUAGACCCGAAACCGAGUGAUCUAGCCAUGAUCAGGUUGAAGGUUGGGUAACACCAACUGGAGGACCGAACCCACUCCCGUUGAAAAGGUAGGGGAUGAAUUGUGGCUAGGGGUGAAAGGCCAAUCAAACUCGGAAAUAGCUGGUUCUCCGCGAAAACUAUUUAGGUAGUGCGGCAAGCGGACACGUUGAGGGGUAGAGCACUGAAAGAGCUAAGGGGGAGCGAUCCUUACUAAACUUUAUCAAACUCCGAAUACUCAACAGUGAUACUUGCCAGACAGACUGUAGGUGCUAAGGUCUACGGUCGAGAGGGAAAGAGCCCAGACCGCCAAUUAAGGUCCCAAAAUUAUGGCUAAGUGGUAAAGGAAGUGAAUUGUCCAAAACAGUCAGGAGGUUGGCUUAGAAGCAGCCAUCCUUUAAAGAAAGCGUAAUAGCUCACUGAUCUAAACAAGACGAUUUGCGCCGAAGAUGUAACGGGGCUAAAGCCAUAUACCGAAGUUGCGGAAUUGCACGUAAGUGCAAUUGGUAGCGGAGCGUUCUGUAAGCCUGCGAAGGUGUUCCGUAAGGAAUGCUGGAGGUAUCAGAAGUGAGAAUGCUGACAUGAGUAGCGAAAAGAAGUGUGAGAGACACUUCCGCUGAAAGUCCAAGGUUUCCUGCGUAAAGCUAAUCUGCGCAGGGUUAGUCGGCCCCUAAGGCGAGGCAGAGAUGCGUAGUCGAUGGGAAUCAGGUUAAUAUUCCUGAACCAACUAGGAAGUGACGGAUUCAGUAAAUUGUAUGUCCUUAUUGGAUUGGAUGUGCAGUGAAUGAGUCCCGGGAAAUAGCCCUAGUAUAGACCGUACCCGAAACCGACACAGGUGGACAGGUAGAGAAUACCAAAGCGCUUGAGAGAACUAUGUUGAAGGAACUAGGCAAAAUACUUGCGUAACUUCGGGAUAAGCAAGCCCCAUUUCUGGGCAACCAGAGGUGGGGGGCACAUACUAGGGGGUAGCGACUGUUUACUAAAAACACAGGGCUCUGCUAAAUUGAAAGAUGAAGUAUAGGGUCUGACGCCUGCCCGGUGCUGGAAGGUUAAGGAGAGAUGUGCAAGCAUUGAACUGAAGCCCCAGUAAACGGCGGCCGUAACUAUAACGGUCCUAAGGUAGCGAAAUUCCUUGUCGGGUAAGUUCCGACCU
RNAcentral lists this ribosomal RNA (1450 nucleotides) under human gut metagenome. Its description in RNAcentral is "bacterial LSU rRNA". It matches the Rfam family "Bacterial large subunit ribosomal RNA", at positions 426 to 1989 of the family's 2925-position model. The record is from RNAcentral.